Long non-coding RNA from Ipomoea nil (Japanese morning glory), 3592 nucleotides. RefSeq lists it as uncharacterized. NCBI's taxonomy places the organism in Eukaryota, Viridiplantae, Streptophyta, Magnoliopsida, Solanales, Convolvulaceae. The record is from RefSeq and is a predicted model, not a curated record. The transcript is spliced from 2 exons.
CUAACCGUUUAUUUCUUUCCUUUGUUUUGGGGUGAUCAAGAUGAUUACUGUUGAAUUAUGGUUUAUAAAUUUUCUGUAGAUGUUGAUUGCUAUGGAGUUAUUGGGUCGAGGAUUGAGUUCUUGUAAUGGAUGUGGAUUAUUAGCUAGAUCCAGUCUUUGAGACGUGUUCAGUUUGGUGCUGUUAUCUCUUAUCAAACAUCUUUGUUCUUAUUCAUCUGUUGAUGUGUUAUGGCCCUGAUGCAUACAAACUAAGUGGUUCUUUGGAUUUUGUUGAUGCUAGGUCUAUAGCUAUGCCAACAGUCUGAUCUUCAAGAUUAGAUAUUACGUCAUCUAUGUGGAUUGGAUCCCUUAAUAAUAUUGGCCAAUAUUGGCCAGAGACAUCUAACUUCUUUUUUCUUUUCUUUGUUUUGGGGUGAUCAAGAUGUUUACUGUUGAUUCUGGUUUAUAAACUUUCUGUAGGUCAGAUGUUGAUUGCUAUGGAGCUAUUGGAUUGAAGAGUGAGUUCUUGUAAGGGAUGUGGAUUAUUGGCUAGAUCCUAUCCUUGAGAAGGGUUUGGUUUGGUGUUAUUAAAAUCUCCCACCACACAUUUAUGUUCUAAUCCAUCUACUAAUGUGUUAUGGUGUUGAUGCGGAACUAAGACGUUCUCUGGAUUUUGUUGAUCCUAGGUCCAUAAUUAUGCCAGCAUAUUAUUUUCUAAGGAUCCUUAAGGCGCUGUACGAAUCUCCUAGAAACCUUAGAUCUACUAGUUUGUGUCCUACUAUAAUUUUUGUGCAAUUUAUCUUCUUUGAUGUUUUUCUUUUACUUCACUGACACUGGGGGGAGGACUCCAAUUUAAUUUUGUGGCUUUAGUCUUUAGUUUGAUCUGUUGAUCUUAUCUAAGCAAACAGGUUUUUUGGAAUUUUCUUUUUAGGUGCCAUUACAGUUUUUGCAUGUAUGGGAUGACAUUGGAAGGGUGCAGCCAGGGAAGUUGUCAUUUGUUUUUUCUAUGGUUACAGAGCUAGAAAAGCUAGUUGUGCAUAGGCCAUGAACAGGGAAGCUUCCACUUUUAUUUAUAUUCUUUUUAGUUCAUACUCUUCAUUUUGGGUUUUUUAGUUGUUCUAGAGCCUGUUAUUUUGAGAAGUUUGUUUGAAAAUUUCUUUCCCCAAAUAUGGUUUUUAAUUGGCUUAUAAUAUUCUUUAUGUCUUGAUUUGGUCUUCAAAUUCAGAUCCACAAGUUUUCUUUUGGACGUUACUAUGUGGCCUUUAUUUAUUUCUACACUAUUUGAACUUGUUGAUAGGUGAAUGUGUAUCUUUGAGGAUAAGUGCAUCUUGGCACUCUAGUUUAGUUGUUUACUGCUUUGAUCCAAACAUGUGGACAGGUAAAUGGGCAUCUACAUCUUGUGGACAAACAAACCUGUAAAUUUAAUUUCACUAUAUAAUUGGUGCAAGUUUGCAACAUGGCUGUUUGCCUAGUGUUAUCACAGAUCAGGAGUUCCAAUUCUUACUAUACUGACCAUUCGAUUUCACCCGUGAUCCAGGCAACUCAACCUUCACAUGUUUGAUGAAUGCUGGAAGCUAUGGUUUGAUAUUCUUCCUGCCAUUUCUGUCUUUUUUCAGUUAUUAUAGGUUUCUUUGUGCAACAUGGUCUAGAUGUAUGGUUGUCAUGUUUUUGAAGCCAUUUUCUCUAACUUUUCUUUUACUGUAGCAGUUUUUAAUUGUCUUUCCUUUCACUUAUCCUUCUAAAUGAGUCAUCGUUUCCAAGUUCACUUGUGGCUGUCAGUGGCUUGGGCCUGAUGAAGGUUACGUGAGUCUGUAUCUCUAAUUUCUGUCUUAGUGAUGUGGUCUUUUGUUAAAUUAUGUUCUAGUGCAUUGUGUAUGAGUCACAAAAGAUAUGCUAGUCUCCAAGAAUACGGUGUCAUCACUCAUUAGCAUGCCAUCUCAGGGAUUGUUGCAACUUCCAUCAUGUUUCAUUUGCUUUGAUCAUCUCUCUCCAUUCCUUUCUACUGCUCGGCUAUGUUCUUAAAUUUUCUACGGUGACUGGUGAAGUGAUGGAUGGAGACUUCUUGGAAGGAUAAAUAUGGUUGUAGAUCUAACUACUCUGUAUUUGAGGUGAUUUUUGCUAGUUAUAUGUACAUCAAUGCAAUGCUUUGUUUUAUGUUACAUGUGCCAGAGUAAAAUGUGCGAUGGACAAUUGGAAGAAUGGGAGUGAUUAUACAUGUAACAUAGUGCAGGCUGUGCGUUGUUUUCUAGUGCAUCUUGUCAUAGAAAAGAGGGUUUAUGUCGUUUUUGGCCAGUUUAGAGAUUGGGGAAACCUUUCAGCUGGUCAUUGCUGUUCGGCAAGGUUUUGUUUGUUGGAGGUUUGUCGAUCUUUUAAAGGAUAACUGAGGCUAUUGUUCAGUUUAUUUGUAUCUUUAAAAAACAAGGCUAUAAUUCUCUGUCACAGUGUCACUAUGGUGACCCCAAUGUCUUCCUUUUCCUGUUCAGUCCGAUGUAGUAUGGAUGGGAGAUUUGAAUCUACAUAUGGAUGCACUUCCAUAUGGGCCCUCUAUUCUUGCAGGGUGCGUUCAAAAAUGGGGUUAGACAGAGGUAGUGGAGGUGGCUUCAUGUCUUCAUGCAUGAGAGUGGUACUGUUUGCUCUGGUUUCUCUUACAAUCUAAUUUGCUCAAGUUUCUUUUGCAUUUGUGUACCACAGUUCCCUCCAGCUUCUGCUUACUGUCAACUCAAAACUUCUUUAAAGCUGGUUCUUUGGUUAUUUGUGUGGCAAAUUAUUGAUUCUCUAUUUUUUUUAUUUUUUUAUCAUGUUGCAACAAAUGCCUUUUAAUUUCGUUGCUUUUGGUGACAGAGUUAAUGAUAUUGAUUGCAAUAGUCCAGUGUGCCUGAUGUGUCUUAUGAUCUACUGGCGGCAGUUCUCAUAUUGUACCUUUAGAUGGUCUUUGGUUUGCUGCACUUGUUAGUUGAUUCUGUUGAGGGAACUGGUUCAUAUAUUAGUUAUGUGUGAUAUCAUGGUCGAUUCUUUUGAUGUCUCUAAUUCAUCCUUUUAUACCACCGUCUAUUGUUUCUUAUUGAUCUUUUAUACCAUUGCCCAUUGUUUUGUAUGGUUCAAUCAUUCUUCUCUUUGGCUGGGGGAAGUUUCCCUGUAUUCUAAUGCUCUAGUUGUGACUUACCUCUCUUAUCAUGAUGUCAGUGAUCAUAGUAUAGAGCAAAGUUUACUUUAUUACGUCAGUCAAGGAAGUUCGUGCGUAUGAUCAACUAUGGUGUCCGUGCAUAUCAGUUGUGAUUCAGCGCAUGGAUUGGUGAAUGAUUGAAUGGACAUCUUGAAGGGCGUGUCACUUUUUUGCCUUAGCUAUGGUGGAUGGGAGCAAUCUUGAAAGAUAAAUAAGGCUGUUAAUAUGAUUUCUCUGCUGGUAUGCUGUUUUUUGAAUGUGCUGAUUUCAAGAUCAUGGUUGUCAUUUGGAAGGAUGGAUAGAUAAGAAUAGCUAAAUUAACCUUAUCUUACUCUGGUGACUAGUUACAUGUAACAUGUUAAAAUCAUUGUGCCAGUGGUGCCUUGUUUUGUGUUGCAUAUUCUACUGCGUUCCUUUUCCUAUUCGAUCUGAUGAAGUAUGGUUUUGAAA